This is a long non-coding RNA of Lathyrus oleraceus (garden pea), 1484 nucleotides long. RefSeq lists it as uncharacterized. Lineage: Eukaryota; Viridiplantae; Streptophyta; Magnoliopsida; Fabales; Fabaceae. The record is from RefSeq and is a predicted model, not a curated record. The transcript is spliced from 3 exons.
AUAUCUUAAACAAUAUUAUGCGAGUAUAAUAUUAUCCGAAGAAUCAACCGAGUACGAAAAAACAAUUAAAGCUCAGUGUUAUAUUAUGAUUUUAUUUGAUAAUUUUUUAUUUCCAGAAAAUACAGGUAAUUCAGUAAAUUUUAUGUAUUUACCGUUGUUACGCAACAUUAAUAAGGUAAGCACAUAUAGUCGGGGUUCAGCUGUGUUGGCCCAUCUAUAUAGUGCAAUGUGUAAAAAUGGCACAAAAAAAAUACUUGUACGUUUUUUUCAUGUACGUAUUUGCUACAAGCAUGAGGUUGGUCAAGAAUGCCGUCACUCGCCCCGAUAAACGAGAACCCAUUCAUGUUCCCGUUUGCAACAAAGUGGUCAGUGCGGGGGAUGAACUACAAUAGGUGUCCGAAACACGUUAUAGUAGUCUAUCGCAAUCUAUUGGACCACAUUGGACCAGACGAUUUUAUCUGGAGACCAUAUAUGGGUCUUGAUCAUCAAGUGAACCAUGACGAUGUUGCAGUUUAGACAACAAAGAUACCAAUUAUCCGGUUCACUACUGUGGAAAUGUACCAGAGUGAUCGAGUAAAACUACAGUUCGGCAUGCAACAACAGAUUCCAGAACCUCCAACGUUUUUGGGAGAUUGGCAUAAAAAAAGAGUUGAUGCCCAAUGGGAUUAUUCCGACUAGAGAGACUUUGCAAAAGAGAUGUGUCGUCAAUAGAGGAAUCAACGACAACACAUCUUAAACGAACCAGUCAUGCAUGGUGCAAGACCAACUCAACAAUAUUUGGCAUGGUUUAGGUUGGUGACAACACAAUAAUUUGUGUUUGAGCCGCGGUAUUUGAUAGAUCCACGCUAACUAGCUUCGUCAUCAUACGCCUAACAACAAGUCCCCGUCCAACACCAAUGUCAAACCACCCAAACCUAACAACCAACCUCACACCACCAAUCUACCACAUACACCCCACAAUCAAACACCCAACUUCGCAACUCAUUCAUGUCAUCCACCCAACAACCAAAUACCCAACGUCGCAAUCCAUUCAUGCCACCUACACAACCAUAAAACCAAGAAUCAAACCCUAUCCACCAACAACCAUACGCUUCAACCACAACCGUCUAUAGCCCAGAUGAUUCAUAUGGGUCACUUCAUCGUAUCCCCCCCAUCAAUGACCACUCAAACAUCCCAUCACCAAAACACACAACCAUUGUUUAACUAUAGUACACCCCAAGAACCAUUGCUUCAUUUCCAAAACCUUCACACCAACCAUUACGGAAGCGCCAUUGGCCAGAUCGCCCCCAGAUAUUGGGAACAAAUGAUGACACAUCUAGCAAAUACCGCUGGAACUUCUGCCAGACCUUCACACCAACCAUCAUUCAAUCAGGUCAGCACGCAAAAACCCCAAACACCUCACGAAAAUCGUGGGGGACCUCGAAGACAAACUAACGCACCUGUAUGUGGAACAGGGGGACGUUUCGAUCGAGCCGGUCAUUAAA